Molecule: long non-coding RNA, 6127 nt
Filed under: Malus domestica (apple)
Lineage: Eukaryota; Viridiplantae; Streptophyta; Magnoliopsida; Rosales; Rosaceae
Description: long non-coding RNA (MDOM_LNC020414)
Source: RNAcentral
AACAAACCAAAUUUCAAUUAAUUAUUGUAAAACAAAGUUUUAAGGUGAUUGAUUUUAUGAUCUAAUUUUUAGAAAAAUGAGUUUAAUUAAUGAAAGUGCACAAAUCUGCAAUAUUCAAGAUGAGGAAAAAGAUGAAACAGUUUUGAAGAAAUCAAGUUAAGAAAGCACUAGGGAUAUGCCGUCACCUUAACAAUUUUAUAUAAUUCUCCCCAAUUACUUAUGACCUAUAAAUGCAUAUUUUUAAGGUUAGGUCUUCUUAAAACAUGCAAUCCGUUUGUGGUAUUCUGAUCAAAUCUAAACAUGCAUGACUAAUUAUGUUUUGUGAAACCUUUCGAAAAACCAUGCAACCCUUAAGACGUGGUAUUCAUCCUAAGUGAACUUGCACAUUUUAAUCACAAAUACGCCUUCGUCAAUUUUAAGGGAUCAAAUUACACCAAAAUUGCAUCAAAUUACUUUUCUAUACAUCCUAAUGGUCGCGAAUCAUUAAGACACUUAGACAGUAUAAACCAGUGAUUAAUAAUUCGAAAACCUUCAUGUAAAUAACCUUAAACAAAUUAAAAAAGAAAUUACAUAUGCUUUCUAAGGCUCGUGGCCUCACCCUAGCAAAAAGAGAAUUAACUACGCAUGUUCAUAAUAAAAAUCACAAAGUUCUCUAUUGAAAUAAUAUCGAAAGCACCUUAAAUGUAAAAGUCGGAAAAUCUCUACGCUUGGCCAAUUUCCACCCUCAAAGAACGCAUGGAGAAUAAGCAGUAAUAAUAGGGCUGGCCAAGCUUAUUUAACCUAGUAAAAAUCAAAUCCUCCUAAACAAAGGUCUUCCAAUCAAAACUAGGAAACUAAAUCCCAAAAAUAAAAUAGGAAACAUAACCCUAAAUUAAAAGGUAACAUCAUCCCACUUUAUGGGUCUACUAGUUAUGUUUCAAAAAUCUGACUGUAUAUCUCGUAGGUUAUCCCUCAAAGGUCAUCUCUAACAAAAAUAAAAAUAAUACGAAAGUUGAGCCCAAAAUACAGAUUUUCGAAUUAAUACGGGUAAUGAGAACAUCAUCCCACUUUAUGGGUCUAAGAGUUAUUUUUUCCAAAAUCUGAGUGUACAUCUCAUAGGUCAUCCCUCAAAGACCAUCAGUGCCAUAAAUAACAAAACAAUAUGAAACUUUUAGACCCUUGAAUUAAAAUAAAAGAGCGCAAAAUAUAGAGUUUCGAAAUAAUACGGGUAAUGAGAACAUAUGUGACAGCCCAUCUCGAUUGUGUAUAUUAUUUUAUCCUUGAGAGCAUGGAAAUUUCUAUUAUGCCCUUUAAUCGUUCAGUUGUGUGUGUGUGUAUAGGCUAAGGUUUUGGACCAAUUAGUUCUAUUCCUAAUUAAUUGGACCCAAUUAGAACUAAAAGACUUAAGGUUUUGUUUGAUUGGCUGCAAAAUGAACCACACACACACACCCAUACCAAACCGUUGACUCUCAAAUUUAUGGAGAACUCUCAAAUUUACCUUGACGUGCACGAAUCGACGUUGAGAAGGUUGUUCUUGUGUUCUCUGUGAGUCCAGGAGCUCAUCCAUGCCCUUAGUUUGACAUGAGAACUUGUCAAAUGUAAGAACCAAAAAACCCCGUUUUGGUGCACUGUUCACUCGACAUGUUCGCGGAGGUUUCAGGUAGUUUUGAGACUUAGAAAGGUUCUAUUCUUGCUUUUCUAGCACCUUGGAUUAAUUUUGGAAGAGUUUUGACGUAGAAAUGCUCUGGUUUUAUGAGUUGCAGGGUGACCGAAUUAUUGUGACUUUUUCCGGUGAGAUUCCGGUGGAUUUCAGACUUAUAAGUGGUAAGGAUGUGUUCCUUUUGUCCUAAGCUUCAUUUUAGUAUAAAAAUUCGUGAAUUUUGGUUAAGAAUUGAAGAAGAUAUCACGAUUAGAAGAUUUUCUAGAAACCGGCAAUCGCAACCAAGGAAGAAGGUGGCGAAUAUUCCGUCAAAGUUGACAGAAUAUUCUAACGGCUUCAGGUAUAUUUAACGGCAUAUUCUAUAUUUUAACGGAAUAUUCCCUAACGCGGGUAGGGAAUUCGUCAAUGUGCCAGGCACGUGCUUGCGCGUGGGCCGUGUUUCUGGCCAUGCCUUGGCCGGCACAUGGGUCGUCAGAAAAGUUUUCUAAAAAUAUGGGGAUGUUGCUGAGGUUGAGUAGAUCACGGUGGUAUAUUCAUAUACCCCAAUUGAGCAAUGUAUGAGAAGUUAUUACCUAGUUUUGUUUAUGUGCUUAAAAAUAACGUUUAAAUAGUUGUUUCAUAUAUAGGUGAGACCUAUCGUGAGGACGAGCGCAGUCAAGCAAGGUUCGGGGGUUACGACCCUUCCACAUAUCAGUGAGUGUGCUUUUGGUUUUCAGUAUAUAUAUACAUACUUCGUAUUUUCCCAAUAAAACUUAAUUAAAUGGUUUGAUACUUUCAAAUGCCAUGUCAAAUGCUCUUUAUGUUUAAUUGUGCAUUAUUAUGGUUAUAUAUAUAUAUUGUUGCUUGACGAUGUGGACGUUCAGGUAAGCAAAGGUGAGUAUAUUGAUGGUAGUGAAUAUAUUAGUGCUGAGAUGCAUUUUGAGCUAUUUAUCCUGCAUCCCGAUGUUAGUGCUUCGCUCGAGGAUAGGGCCUAGCCUUCACGUGAUCGUUCACCUCCCGCACCACACGUUCACCUUGGAUCCAAGGCAGGUGCCAGCCUAUCGUACAUACCACUUUAGGUGGUUUCGACUCGUAGGUGACUUGCGAUACUUCGCACAGCCUUCACGUGACUGUAGCACUUGAGCAUAUUUAUUUACACCUAGCCUAUCGUAUAGACCACAUUAGGUGGUUCCGACUCGUGUGCAGAAUUUGAUUGAUGAGUUGUGGACCCAACCGUACAGGUCACUUUAGGUGACUUCAGCUAGUUUACUAUUUCAUAUUGAUUUAUUGCACCUAGCUUACUUAUUUCAUUAUGAGAUUUGACAUGCUAUAUUCGGUGGAUUGCUAUUUUGAAUAUGCUUUGAAAUAUAAUCAUAUCUACUAUUUUCAGAUAAUUAUACAGGUUUUACGGCAAGGGGUUACUACUUUUGAUAGUGAAAUGGUUUAGAAAAGCUUUGUUUUUGCCCACUCAUACUUUCUGUUUUGUGCCCCUCCAGGUUUUAGGUAAGAGUGCUCGUUGGUGGCUCAAGAGGAUUUCACGGCAGCUCUGACAGAUUAUCGCUAAAGUAGGACCAUUUUUAGUAUUGUAUAAUGAGUAUUCGUCCUGCUGGACUGCACUUAGGCUACAUGCGCUCUGGUUAUGUAUAGUCACUUCUAUUAUCGCACUUUCACCUUAUCUCAUCUAGUGUUUUAGUCCGUUGGUUUUUAUUUAUUCGAAUUUCUUAUAUCAUUAUUGCUUCUGCACUGUGCACAUGACUACGUCACCCUCACGUGAUGGCCAGCAUGCCUCGAUAUUAAGUUGGGGUGUGUCAACAUCAUCCCACUUUAUGGGUCUACGAGUUAUGUUUCAAAAAUCCAACUAUAUGUCACCCCUCUGCCCAAAAUAAUAAGAAUACGAAACUUUUAUACCCUAGAAUUGAAAGGAAGGAGCCUGAAAUACAGAUUUUUGAAUUAAUAUGGGUAAUGAGAACAUCAUCCCACUAUAUGGGUCAAUGAGUUAUGUUUUCAAAAAUCCGACUGUACACCUUAUAGGUAUCCCUUAAAGAUCAGCUCUACCAAAAAAAAAUAAAAAAGAAUACGAAACUUUUAGACCCUUGAAUUGAAAGAAAAGAGCCCAAAUACAGAUUUUCGAAUUAAUAUGUGUAACGAGAACAUCAUCCCACUUUAUGGGUUUGUGAGUUAUGUUUCAAAAAUCUGAUUGUGCAUCUCAUAGGUCAUCCCUUAAAGAUUAUUUCUGCCAAAAAUCAAAGGAGUAAGAAGGUUUUAGACCCUUGAAUUGAGAGAAAAGAGCCCGAAAUACAGACUCUUGAAUUAAUACGGGUAAUGAGAACAUCAUCUCAUUUUAUGGGUCUACGAGUUAUGUUUCAAAAAUCCAACUGUACAUCUCAUAGGUCAUAGCACAAAGAUCAUCUUUGCCAAAAAUAAAAAGAAUUCGAAAGUUCGAGACCCUUGAAUUGAAAGAAAAAAGCUCGAAAUAUAUAUUUUUGAAUUAAUACGAGUAAUGAGAGCAUCAUCCCACUAUAUGGGUUUAUGAGUUAUGUUUUCAAAAAUUUUGACUAUCUAUCUCAAAGGUCUUCGCAUAAAGAUCAUCUCUACCAAAAAGAAAAAGAAUACGAAACUUGUAGACCCUUGAAUUGAAAGAAAAAGUGCCCGAAAUAUAGAUUUUCAAAUUAAUACGGGUAAUGAGAACAUCAUCCCACUUUAUGGGUCUACGAGUAUUAUUUCAAAAAUCCGACUAUAGGUCUUAUAUGUCAUUCCAUAAAGAUCAUCUCUGCCAAAAAUAAAAAGAAUAUGAAACUUUUAGACCCUUUAUUUGAAAGAAAAGAUCCCGAAAUACAUAUUUUCUAAUUAAUAGGGUGAUGAGAACAUCAUCCCACUUUAUGGGUCUACGAGUUUUGUUUCAUAAACCUAACUGUACAUCUCAUAGGUCACCCUUUAAAGAUCAUCAUUGCCCAAAAUAAAAAGGAUAUGAAAGUUUAGACCCCUGAAUUGAAAGAAAAGAGCCCCAAAAACAAAUUUUUGAAUUAAUACGGGUAUUGAGAAUAUCAUCCCACUUUAUGGGUCUACGAGUUAUGUUUCAAAAAUCCAACUGUACAACUCAUAGAUCAUCCCUUAAACAUCAUCGCUUCCAAAAAAUAAAAAGAAUACGAAACUUUUAGACCCUUGAAUUGAAAGAAAAGAGCCCGAAAUACAGAUUUUUGAAUUAGUACGAUUAAUGAGAACAUUAUCCCAAUUUAUGGCUCUAUGAGUUAGGUUUCGAAAAUCCAACUGUACAUAUCAUAGGUCAUCCCUUAAAGUUCUUCUCUUCCUAAAAUAAAAAGAAUACGAAACUUUUAGUCUCUUGAAUAGAAAGAAAAGAUCCUGAAAUACAGAUUUUCGAAUUAAUAUGUGCAAUGAGAACAUCAUCCUACUUUAUGUGUCUACAAGUUAUGUUUCAAAAAUCCUACUGUACAUCUCAUAGGUCAUCCCUCAAAGAUCUUCUAUGCCCAAAAUAAAAAGAACAUGAAACUUUUAGACCCUUGAAUUGAACGAAGAGAGCCCAAGAUAGCUAUUUUCGAAUUAAUAUGGGUAAUGAGAACAUCAUCCAACUUUAUGGGUCUAUGAGUUAUGUUUCAAAAAUCCAAACAUACAUCUCAUAGGUCAUCCCUUAAAGAUCAUCUCUACCAAAAAUGAAAGGAAUACAAAACCUUUAGACCCUUGAAAUGAAAGAAAAGAGCCCGAUAUAUAGAUUUUUGAAUUAAUACAAGCUAAUGAGAAUGUCAUCCCACUAUAUGGGUCUACAAGUUAUCUUUCUAAAAUCCAACUAUACAAUGCAUAGGAUAUCCCUUAAAGAUCAUCUCUGCCAAAAAUAAAAAGAACACAAAACUUUUAUACCCUUGAAUUGAAAAAGAAGAAAAAAAAGAUCCCGAAGUACAGAUUUUCGAAUUAAUACGGGUAAUUAGAACAUCAUCAUAAUUUGUGGGUCUAUGAAUUAUGUUUCAAAAACCCAACUGUUCAUCUCAUAGGUCAUCCUGUAAAGAUGGCCUCUGCUAAAAAUAAAAAGAAUAUGAAACUUUUAGACCCUUGAAUUGAAACAAAAGAGCCCCAAAUACAGAUUUUUGGAUUAUUACGGGUAAUGAGAGUAUCGUCCCACUAUAUGGAUCUACAAUUUAUGUUUCAAAAAUAGGACCGUGCACCUCAUAGGUCAUCCCGUAAAGAUCGUGUUUGCCAAAAAAAUAAAAAUAGUGUGAAGCGUUUAGACCCUUGAAUUGAAAUAAAAGAGUCGGAAAUAAAGAUUUUUAAAUUAAUAUGAGUAAUGAGAACAUCGUCCCACAUUUUGGGUCUACAAGUUAUGUUUCAAAAAUCCGACUGUACAUCUCAUAGGUCAUCUCUUAAAGAUCUUCUCUACCUGAAAUAAAAAGAAUACGAAACUUUUAGACCCUUGAUUUGAAAGAAAAGAGCCUGAUAAAUAGAUUUUCAAAUUAAUACGAGUAAUGAGAACAUCAUCCCACUUUAUGGGUCUACCAGUUA